This is a long non-coding RNA of Carcharodon carcharias (great white shark), 413 nucleotides long. RefSeq lists it as uncharacterized. The record is from RefSeq and is a predicted model, not a curated record. Lineage: Eukaryota; Metazoa; Chordata; Chondrichthyes; Lamniformes; Lamnidae. The transcript is spliced from 3 exons.
CAUGAAGAACAGCUUUCUCCUCCUUCUACCAUCGCAGCUACAACAAUACGUGAAACAACACCUGAGAUAAACAAUAUUACCACAGGUGGUGGAGACAGGAACCAUUUGCUUUCAUCACUUCCUAGCUUGGCCCUGCCUGACCAUGAAGAACAGCUUUCACCUCCUUCCACCAUCGCAGCUACAACAAUACGUGAAACAACACCUGAGAUAAAUGAUAUUACCACAGAUGGUGGAGACAGGAACCAUUUGCUUUCAUCACUUCCUAGCUUGGCCCUUCCUGACCAUGAAGAACAGCUUUCACCUCCUUCCACCAUCGCAGCUACAACAAUACGUGAAACAACACCUGAGAUAAACGAUAUUACCACAGAUGGUGGAGACAGGAACCAUUUGCUUUCAUCACUUCCUAGUUUGGG